Molecule: non-coding RNA, 61 nt
Submitted as: unclassified sequences
Source: Rfam
AUCGUUCAAUUUAAAUGGAAACAUUUAGAUCGGAAGUAGACAUUAGUCGAAGGAACGCAUG